This 305-nucleotide ribosomal RNA is filed under the name uncultured bacterium. RNAcentral describes it as "bacterial SSU rRNA". It matches the Rfam family "Bacterial small subunit ribosomal RNA", at positions 334 to 657 of the family's 1533-position model. The record is from RNAcentral.
UCCCCCUACGGGACGCAGCAGUGGGGGAUAUUGCACAAUGGGGGGAACCCUGAUGCAGCGACGCCGCGUGGGUGAAGAAGCGCCUCGGCGCGUAAAGCCCUGUCAGCAGGGAAGAAAAUGACGGUACCUGAAGAAGAAGCCCCGGCUAACUACGUGCCAGCAGCCGCGGUAAUACGUAGGGGGCAAGCGUUAUCCGGAAUUAUUGGGCGUAAAGAGUACGUAGGUGGUUUUGUAAGCGCGGGGUGAAAGGCAGUGGCUUAACCAUUGUAAGCCUUGCGAACUGCAAGACUUGAGUGCAGGAGAGG